Molecule: ribosomal RNA, 1441 nt
Filed under: uncultured bacterium
Lineage: Bacteria
Description: bacterial SSU rRNA
Rfam family: Bacterial small subunit ribosomal RNA
Source: RNAcentral
GGAUGAACGCUGGCGGUACGUCUGACGCAUGCNAGUCGAACGGGAUCCAGAGCUUCGGUUCUGGUGAGAGUGGCAAACGGCUGAGUAACACGUAGGGACCUACCCCCCGGACUGGGAUAACCCCGCGAAAGCGGGGCUAAUACCGGAUAACACCUUCGGGUUGAAACGCUCCGGUGCCGGAGGAGGGGCCUGCGGCCUAUUAGCUUGUUGGUGGGGUAACGGCCUACCAAGGCAAUGAUGGGUAGGUGGUCUGAGAGGACGAUCACCCAGACUGGAACUGAGACACGGCCCAGACUCCUACGGGAGGCAGCAGCUCAGAAUCUUGCGCAAUGGGCGAAAGCCUGACGCAGCGAUACCGCGUGAGGGAAGAAGGCCUUCGGGUUGUAAACCUCUGUCUGGGGGGAAGAAUAAUGACGGUACCCCCAAAGGAAGCCUCGGCUAACUACGUGCCAGCAGCCGCGGUAAAACGUANGAGGCAAGCGUUAUCCGGAAUUACUGGGCGUAAAGCGUUCGUAGGCGGCUCCGUGUGUCGGAGGUGAAAUCCCCGGGCUCAACCCGGGAACUGCCUUCGAAACUGCGGGGCUAGAGCACAUCAGAGGGUGAUGGAAUUCCCGGUGUAGCGGUAAAAUGCUUAGAUAUCGGGAGGAACACCAGUGGCGAAGGCGGUCACCUGGGGUGUUGCUGACGCUGAGGAACGAAAGCCAGGGUAGCGAACGGGAUUAGAUACCCCGGUAGUCCUGGCUGUAAACGAUGGGCACUGGGUGCUGGGAGAUUCGACCCUUUCAGUGCCGCAGCUAACGCAUUAAGUGCCCCGCCUGGGGAGUACGACCGCAAGGUUAAAACUCAAAGGAAUUGACGGGUCCCCGCACAAGCGGUGGAGCAUGUGGUUUAAUUCGAUGCAACGCGAAGAACCUUACCUGGACUUGACAUCCCGCUGAAAGCUUGUGGAAACACGAGCCCUCCUUCGGGACAGCGGAGACAGGUGGUGCAUGGCUGUCGUCAGCUCGUGCCGUGAGGUGUUGGAUUAAGUUCCGCAACGAGCGCAACCCUCGCCGUUAGUUGCCAUCAUUUAGUUGGGCACUCUAGCGGGACUGCCGGUGUCAAGCCGGAGGAAGGUGGGGACGAGGUCAAGUCAUCAUGCCCCUUACGUCCAGGGCAACACACGUGCUACAAUGGUCCGUACAACGGGUUGCCACCUGGCAACAGGCAGCGAAUCCCUAAAAGCGGGCCUCAGUUCGGAUUGGAGGCUGCAACUCGCCUCCAUGAAGUUGGAAUCGCUAGUAACCGUGGAUCAGCAUGCCGCGGUGAAUACGUUCCCGGGGAUUGUACACACCGCCCGUCACACCACGAAAGUCGGUAACACCCGAAGUCGCCGGGCUAACCCCGGAGGAAACAAAGAGGAAGCAGGUGCCGAAGGUGGGAUUGACGAUUGGGGUGAAGU